Long non-coding RNA from Hippocampus comes (tiger tail seahorse), 420 nucleotides. RefSeq lists it as uncharacterized. NCBI's taxonomy places the organism in Eukaryota, Metazoa, Chordata, Actinopteri, Syngnathiformes, Syngnathidae. The record is from RefSeq and is a predicted model, not a curated record. The transcript has 3 exons.
GUCAGGUGUCUUCCCGCCCAAGAGGAUGUGGACCAACCGAUUGAUUCCUAGCCGGCCAAUCAGCGAUGAUAAUUUAGCGUCACUGCAGCAUUUGACCAAUCGGUAGUGUUGCAAGGUGCGCGGCACUUCCUCGUUUAGCCAAACCAAGUACUCUAAGAAUCGCUCUCAUUUUGAGCGUAUUUGUCAUUUCACAAGUGUUCAUGCUGCCAUUGGCCACACGAGCAAGACAUCAGGAUGAUUGACACCUGCCGAGAUUGACAGCAGCUCAAGAAGAGGCUGAGGAAGAUGAGGGUGAAGAUCAGGCGGAAGAGGUGCAUUGUAUAAAAGACCCGACGCAGUGAUGACGGAAUGGUCAGGAGGCGUUGAACCGACCGUGUUGCCGCGCCGUCGGCAUCGGAUGAGUGUGAAGCGGCUGUGGUU